UACAGAGGUCCCAAGCGUUGUUCGGAUUCAUUGGGCGUAAAGGGUGCGUAGGCGGCGCGGUAAGUCGGGUGUGAAAGUCUCGGAGCUUAACUCCGAAACUGCAUUCGAUACUGCCGUGCUUGAGGACUGGAGAGGAGACUGGAAUUUACGGUGUAGCGGUGAAAUGCGUAGAUAUCGUAAGGAAGACCAGUGGCGAAGGCGGGUCUCUGGACAGUUCCUGACGCUGAGGCACGAAGGCCAGGGGAGCAAACGGG
This 254-nucleotide ribosomal RNA is filed under the name uncultured bacterium. RNAcentral describes it as "partial 16S ribosomal RNA". It matches the Rfam family "Bacterial small subunit ribosomal RNA", at positions 524 to 776 of the family's 1533-position model. The record is from RNAcentral.